RNAcentral lists this ribosomal RNA (253 nucleotides) under uncultured bacterium. Its description in RNAcentral is "partial 16S ribosomal RNA". It matches the Rfam family "Bacterial small subunit ribosomal RNA", at positions 524 to 776 of the family's 1533-position model. The record is from RNAcentral.
GACGAACUGUCCUACCGUUGUUCGGAAUCACUGGGCUUAAAGGGCGCGUAGGCGGUCCGACAAGUCGGGGGUGAAAUCCUGCAGCUUAACUGCAGAAGUGCCUUCGAUACUGUCGGUCUUGAGGGAGAUAGGGGUGUGCGGAACUUCCAGUGGAGCGGUGAAAUGCGUAGAUAUUGGGAGGAACACCGGUGGCGAAGGCGGCCCCCUGGACCGGUACUGACGCUGAGGCGCGAAAGCGUGGGUAGCAAACGGG